Molecule: ribosomal RNA, 232 nt
Filed under: uncultured bacterium
Lineage: Bacteria
Description: partial 16S ribosomal RNA
Rfam family: Bacterial small subunit ribosomal RNA
Source: RNAcentral
GAUCCUGGCUCAGGAUGAACGCUAGCUACAGGCUUAACACAUGCAAGUCGAGGGGAAACGGCAUUGAGUGCUUGCACUCUUUGGACGUCGACCGGCGCACGGGUGAGUAACGCGUAUCCAACCUUCCCAUUACUGUGGGAUAACCUGCCGAAAGGCAGACUAAUACCGCAUAGUCUUCGAUGACGGCAUCAGAUUUGAAGUAAAGAUUUAUCAGUAAUGGAUGGGGAUGCGU